This is a long non-coding RNA of Panicum virgatum (switchgrass), 295 nucleotides long. RefSeq lists it as uncharacterized. NCBI's taxonomy places the organism in Eukaryota, Viridiplantae, Streptophyta, Magnoliopsida, Poales, Poaceae. The record is from RefSeq and is a predicted model, not a curated record. The transcript has 3 exons.
AAGCUAACCAAGAGCGGGAGAGGAUGCAGCAAGACCUUCGGCAGACACAGGAAGCCUCCCAGCAGAAUCAGAUGCAGCUGGCCCUGGCUUUUCAGUUCAUGCAGACUCUGGGCUCGCAAAUGGGUCUUUCACCACCGCAAUUCCCUCAGACUAAUAUCCCUGCGCGUGCAGCUACCCCUACUCCUCCUCAAUCGGCAGCAUCAAAUGAUGGGCCAACAGAAAUGUCCCCUUCGCCGAUACCUCAGAAUGUGUGGCCGCCUCCUCAUUGGGUGACUUACAUGCAGCAGUUCCAGCA